RNAcentral lists this transfer RNA (77 nucleotides) under Dipodomys ordii (Ord's kangaroo rat). It matches the Rfam family "tRNA". From Rfam's summary of the family: Transfer RNA (tRNA) molecules are approximately 80 nucleotides in length. Lineage: Eukaryota; Metazoa; Chordata; Mammalia; Rodentia; Heteromyidae. The record is from Rfam by way of RNAcentral.
GGAGGCAUGAGUCAAAUAGUAGAGUACUUGCCUAACAAGCAAGCAUGCAAUCCUGAGUUUAAAUCUCAGUACUACCU